AUUGGAUUCUUACCCUGAUGUCAAAAAUUUCACUUCCGGCCCAAAAUUCCAAAAAAUUGACUUUCUCCAUUUCAAGCCUAAAUAAGCUACGGACCUCCAAAAUACAAUCUGGGUACGCCCCUAAGCCCAAAAUCACCCCAUGGAGCUAAAAGAAUUGACAGAACUCUAUUCCCAAGUUGUAUUCUUACUAUUUCGACUACAGUCUGAAUUCCAAGACUUAAGCUCUCAUUUAGGGACUAAGUAUCCCAAAGCACUUCGAAACUCGA
This 266-nucleotide long non-coding RNA is filed under the name Nicotiana benthamiana. RNAcentral describes it as "long non-coding RNA (NBEN_LNC039709)". The record is from RNAcentral. Lineage: Eukaryota; Viridiplantae; Streptophyta; Magnoliopsida; Solanales; Solanaceae.